Molecule: ribosomal RNA, 237 nt
Filed under: uncultured bacterium
Lineage: Bacteria
Description: partial 16S ribosomal RNA
Rfam family: Bacterial small subunit ribosomal RNA
Source: RNAcentral
GAUCCUAGCUCAGGACGAACGCUGGCGGCGUGCUUAACACAUGCAAGUCGAACGAGAAUCUACUGAAAGAGUUUUCGGACAAUGGAUGUAGAGGAAAGUGGCGGACGGGUGAGUAACGCGUGAGGAACCUGCCUUGAAGAGGGGGACAACAGUUGGAAACGACUGCUAAUACCGCAUGACGCAUAGAGGUCGCAUGAUCUUUAUGCCAAAGAUUUAUCGCUUCAAGAUGGCCUCGCG